Trachemys scripta elegans is the source of this 823-nucleotide long non-coding RNA. RefSeq lists it as uncharacterized. The transcript has 4 exons. The record is from RefSeq and is a predicted model, not a curated record. Lineage: Eukaryota; Metazoa; Chordata; Testudines; Emydidae.
UUUCUGAUUGGCCCACAGCAGCCUUGCCAAGAAGAAACCAAGCCCUGAGGAUCUGUAUAAAACAGGCAAUUUGGGUCAAAGCAUCCAUGUGACGCUCAUAUAUCUGGAUGAGAGAGACGGCGAGUGGGACUAUCAUCACCUGGCUACAGAGAGCACCCCUAGUCUGGUAACUACUAAAGUCACUUCCUUUAUGCUCACCCUAUUAACACUUCCUUCAAUGUUCUGUCUAGGGCUGUGAGAUCCAGAAAGAGAAGAAGAACACGGCUGUCAUAACCCCUUGAUUACGCUGAGUUGCCGGCUGACCUUCAGCAAUGAAGAUCCUUUAUCUGCUCUUUGCAGUUUUCCUUCUAGUGCUCCAGGGUGCACCAGCAUUCUCCCAGGUUAAUAAUCCCUACCUGCAAUGUAGACUCCGUGGGGGUAAUUGUUACUUUAGGAGCUGUCUCUUCAAUUCUAAAAUCAUUGGCUUGUGUGCUAGACAUCAUUUCUGCUGUCAAAGGCACCUUUCUGACUGAUUGUCUAGGCAGGAUCUCUGGGAAUCUGGGAGACAGCCACUUGCUUCUAAAAUCAUCAGAUCCUGCUUCAAUGGAACACUGACAUGCUGUUUAUUUGGGCUGUAAAAAAUCUUCUGAGUUGGAGAAAUUCCUGAAGGGAUCCAUUGUAUCACCCAUAUAAGAUUUGUUACUCUCCUUUUAAUAAAAGCAAGUUGGUUUCAGAUAAUAUUGCUGAAGUGUGUAUGGGUGGGAGGCAAGGGGGCUGUUUCUAUCAUUCAUCUCCUUUAGAAUUCCAACUUGUUUAUUUUUUUAAAUUUAAAAUAAAAUAAAAU